Drosophila grimshawi is the source of this 1709-nucleotide long non-coding RNA. RefSeq lists it as uncharacterized. The record is from RefSeq and is a predicted model, not a curated record. Lineage: Eukaryota; Metazoa; Arthropoda; Insecta; Diptera; Drosophilidae. The transcript is spliced from 3 exons.
GUUUUUUCCGGAUGUCGUGAAUCACGUUUAAUUAAUUGCAAUUGCAAUUGCAUGAAUGCAUACUCGUAUUGUAAAAUUGUUAUUCACAAACUUUUCACCUGCUAAUAAUUGCAAUUAUUACUAUGCAGUGCAACACCUAUUUCUGUGUAUGUAUGCAUGAGAUUACAAUGGGCGCCAGUGCUGAUAAUGGGUGAGCAGAGUGUGCAAUUUGAGUCGAUUAACGUAUACUCGAUGCCGACCUCUGACGUGUGAUCCGGCGCCAUUGGCCGUCUGUCGAUUAUGGAAUCGUCUGGCAAUCAGUACGUACGUGAGGUGCCUAGGUGCAUUUGGAUUGGAAUUGCCUUCAGCUGAUGUCUUGACACCGACAGCAGAUCACAGUCGACAAACCACAACUCACGUGUUCCGGCAAAAAAAAAAGAUCUUCUGGCCAAAAGUCGACCAUUUAAAGAUGAAAAUAGUAUUUCAAAAAUUGACUAUAUGUCGAGAGUAUUUAUUCCACGACAAAAUGCUAAGAAAGCAGAAGGGAGCCGGAGGGAGCCAUUAUUUAUUUCCCUUAAUUGACUUUUCUCUUGGACAACUCAUUUAACGGAGUCUGCAAAAAAGGAGAAUAUCAAUUCAAUGAUUUAUUCAGCAUUAUUUAUUUAUUUUAACACAUUUAUGUCAUUUCAGCUCAGUCUAUUUGGGCUUCGAACCUCUCUGACCACAUCAGUGGUCGAAAAUAGCUCAGCCUAGGCUCUAUCAAUAUUAUAACUUACUCAGAAUAGUUGCCCAUACAUUGUUUGCUAUGGCAAAUUACCAUAUGUAGCAAUUGACCUCUUUGCAUAUAAAAAUAUUUUCUUUAAUCAAACGCAACAACCCAAGAAUUAAUCAAUUAAAAGACGACUGCUUGUUAGCCACAUUAAAAUAUAGUUGAAAAUUAAAAAUCCAUUUCGCAAAUGUUGCUUGUGCAUCACUGCCACUUGGACGUAGGCAGUCGAGCGAGCCAACUGUGAAAUACUCUUAUAACAAUCAAUGACACCAUCCUAGUAAUCUAUCUUCCAAGUUUGCCUUUGAAAAAAAUAUUAGUGAAAGUUCUUCCUUUCAAGUUCGGUAAAUGUAGGUCUUAAAUUACGGUAAAUAUAGACUUUGUGAAUUUUUGGGAGCGAGAAAAAAUUAUUGAGAAGAUACCUAGUAAUCUUCUUCCCAUUUUUGGUUUGUAGCGUUUUUAUAGAUCUCUUAGGGGAGUUACUAGUAUCAGAAACCAGUACUACACCUACAAAAUUUUGACGGCUCUAACUCAAUAACUGCGGAAGACAUACCCAUUUCAAUAUUUGAGCCUGGGGCAGCAGAGAUGGGCGUUGCAUAUGCCGUCGAAAAAAGUUGCAUUCAUACAGACGGACGAACAGCGUGACGGACAUUGCACAAAACCAAUAUAGUAUGGUUCCUUUGGUUUCAAAGUAUACAAAUUUGGGAAGCUUAAAGCGCUAAUGAAUAACAGAGCAGAGCAACAAAUUUCAGACCACUGCUGCAACAAGGCGUUGCAUAGAGCCCCAGCGACGUGCAACAUAUGUUGUGUAAUUAACAACAGUCAAAUUCGAAUUACAGGCACAAAAUUGAAAACAACAUAAAACAGAAGCCAGCUGCAAAUAUUACAAAAUCCGACAAAUUAUCUUCUUUAUAUGCCCUGUACUCUUCAAAAUUAAUAAAACGGGUAUAGUAAAGCUUUUCAU